This 345-nucleotide unclassified non-coding RNA is filed under the name soil metagenome. Its description in RNAcentral is "partial contains 5.8S ribosomal RNA, internal transcribed spacer 2, and large subunit ribosomal RNA". The stretch from base 1 to 120 matches the Rfam family "5.8S ribosomal RNA", at positions 35 to 154 of the family's 154-position model. The record is from RNAcentral.
GAUGAAGAACGCAGCGAAAUGCGAUACGUAAUGUGAAUUGCAGAAUUCAGUGAAUCAUUGAGUCUUUGAACGCACAUUGCGCCCUCUGGUAUUCCGGAGGGCAUGCCUGUCCGAGCGUCAUUGCUGCCCUCAAGCACGGCUUGUGUGUUGGGCCCCGCCCCCCGAUCCCGGGGGGCGGGCCCGAAAGGCAGCGGCGGCACCGCGUCCGGUCCUCGAGCGUAUGGGGCUUUGUCACCCGCUCUGUAGGCCCGGCCGGCGCCUGCCGAUCAACCAAACUUUUUUCCAGGUUGACCUCGGAUCAGGUAGGGAUACCCGCUGAACUUAAGCAUAUCAAUAAGCGGAGGA